Molecule: long non-coding RNA, 203 nt
Filed under: Homo sapiens (human)
Lineage: Eukaryota; Metazoa; Chordata; Mammalia; Primates; Hominidae
Description: novel transcript
Source: RNAcentral
UGUGCCACCUGGCACUCAGGCAACUGGAGUAAGGGUCACACCCGUGGGCCUGCACGUGGGUGUCUUGGUCCCCAGUGCUCGCGCAGCUGCGGUGGAGGUUCCUCAGUGCAGGACGUGCAGUGUGUGGAUACACGGGACCUCUGGACACUGCAGCCCUUCCAUUGUCAGCCCGGGCCUGCCAAACCGCCUGCACACCGGCCCUG